Molecule: transfer RNA, 73 nt
Filed under: Paramuricea clavata
Lineage: Eukaryota; Metazoa; Cnidaria; Anthozoa; Malacalcyonacea; Plexauridae
Description: tRNA-Ser
Rfam family: tRNA
About the family: Transfer RNA (tRNA) molecules are approximately 80 nucleotides in length. Their secondary structure includes four short double-helical elements and three loops (D, anti-codon, and T loops). Further hydrogen bonds mediate the characteristic L-shaped molecular structure. tRNAs have two regions of fundamental functional importance: the anti-codon, which is responsible for specific mRNA codon recognition, and the 3' end, to which the tRNAs corresponding amino acid is attached (by aminoacyl-tRNA synthetases). tRNAs cope with the degeneracy of the genetic code in two manners: having more than one tRNA (with a specific anti-codon) for a particular amino acid; and 'wobble' base-pairing, i.e. permitting non-standard base-pairing at the 3rd anti-codon position.
Source: RNAcentral
UAGUCUGUAGCUCAGUUGGUUAGAGUGCUGCACUGGAAUCACAGGGCCAUAGGUUCAAAUCCUACCAGAGGAC